RNAcentral lists this transfer RNA (70 nucleotides) under Laimosemion lyricauda. RNAcentral describes it as "tRNA-Val". It matches the Rfam family "tRNA". Rfam says of the family: Transfer RNA (tRNA) molecules are approximately 80 nucleotides in length. Lineage: Eukaryota; Metazoa; Chordata; Actinopteri; Cyprinodontiformes; Rivulidae. The record is from RNAcentral.
CAGGACAUAGCUAAAAUCAUAGCCCUUCCCUUACACUGAAAAGUUGCCCGUGCAAGUCGAGCUGUUCUGA